UUUGAAGUGUGGAACACUCCAAAGCAGAGCAACAGAUCCAUGGGCACACGUGGGAAAAGGAGCUCAUGCUUAAACGAGUCCAUCGGGUCUAUUCAGGAGAGAGGAUUCUCUUCCCACUGACAUCUGUGAAUGACUCCAUGUGUGGACAGGGAAGCUCACUGCUGUGCAGAGGACCCACGCCCCACUUACACACAACAAAGCAGGUCAGAGAAAUUAACGCUGAGAACACUCUCUCUUACUUUGUUGUUGGAGCAAGAAAAAAGAAGACUUUUUCCCUUGAAACGGAUGAGCAAGAACUGUAGAGGUGCUAACUUUUUGCUGUUUCUGCCUUGGGAAACACGGAAUGAUUCCCAGACUGAUCCACAGAUGACAGAUCAUGGGCUGUGCUGGAAAUCUCAAGAGAGCAGCAUUUCCUGGAGAGUGGAAGGAAUAUCUGUCUUCAGAACAGCCAUCUGCAAAGUGUCAUGCUGGUUUUGA
This 477-nucleotide long non-coding RNA is filed under the name Phasianus colchicus (ring-necked pheasant). RNAcentral's name for it is "lncRNA (ENSPCLG00000000985.1)". The record is from RNAcentral. Lineage: Eukaryota; Metazoa; Chordata; Aves; Galliformes; Phasianidae.